UGGGGAAUUUUGGACAAUGGGGGAAACCCUGAUCCAGCCAUCCCGCGUGUGCGAUGAAGGCCUUCGGGUUGUAAAGCACUUUUGGCAGGAAAGAAACGUCGCGGGUUAAUACCCCGCGGAACUGACGGUACCUGCAGAAUAAGCACCGGCUAACUACGUGCCAGCAGCCGCGGUAAUACGUAGGGUGCAAGCGUUAAUCGGAAUUACUGGGCGUAAAGCGUGCGCAGGCGGUUCGGAAAGAAAGAUGUGAAAUCCCAGAGCUUAACUUUGGAACUGCAUUUUUAACUACCGGGCUAGAGUGUGUCAGAGGGAGGUGGAAUUCCGCGUGUAGCAGUGAAAUGCGUAGAUAUGCGGAGGAACACCGAUGGCGAAGGCAGCCUCCUGGGAUAACACUGACGCUCAUGCACGAAAGCGUGGGGAGCAAACAGGAUUAGAUACCCUGGUAGUCCACGCCCUAAACGAUGUCAGCUAGCUGUUGGGGUCUUCGGACCUUGGUAGCGCAGCUAACGCGUGAAGUUGACCGCCU
RNAcentral lists this ribosomal RNA (526 nucleotides) under uncultured bacterium. RNAcentral's name for it is "partial 16S ribosomal RNA". It matches the Rfam family "Bacterial small subunit ribosomal RNA", at positions 355 to 874 of the family's 1533-position model. The record is from RNAcentral.